Molecule: non-coding RNA, 163 nt
Filed under: uncultured Faecousia sp.
Lineage: Bacteria; Bacillati; Bacillota; Clostridia; Eubacteriales; Oscillospiraceae
Description: Lysine riboswitch
Rfam family: Lysine riboswitch aptamer
About the family: Riboswitches are metabolite binding domains within certain messenger RNAs that serve as precision sensors for their corresponding targets. Allosteric rearrangement of mRNA structure is mediated by ligand binding, and this results in modulation of gene expression.
Source: RNAcentral
UGAUAGAGGCGCACUGCAUGAAAAGUAGUCCCUUUUUUAACGCCGGCUGGGGCGGAAACGGACGAAAGGCAUGGGUGCCGAAGUCGGGCGGUUCAGCGGCCGCUCGGGCUGGCAACAGAAAAUAAGAGUUCUGUCGCUGUCGCAGAAAUGCGGAGAGCUAUCC